Molecule: long non-coding RNA, 4682 nt
Organism: Brassica rapa (field mustard)
Lineage: Eukaryota; Viridiplantae; Streptophyta; Magnoliopsida; Brassicales; Brassicaceae
Source: RefSeq, a predicted model, not a curated record
CUCUCCCGUCCAUGCAUCUAAAACCUUGAAUCACAAGUCUUUGCGCCGAGAUUUCAAAUGGGUUUUGACCCUUUUGGUUGAAAGAUUGAAACUUUAUGAAGAAAACAGAGUACACACUACCCUAGAAAAGAAGCAAAGCUAAAUCUUGAGCUCACUUAGAAAAUAGCAGAUUCGAAAUUACGAAAGGUUAAGACAAGAGGAGAAAGAAGAAGUUAGAUUUGAUUUCGAAAUCAAGGGCUUCCGAGAUGAAAAAACGCAAAUGUACAUCAGAGAGGAGACAAGGGAAGAUGACAGAAGAGACAGAACAGAAGAGAAGAGAAAAGAGGGAGAAACAACAGAUUUAUAAUUUUUAUAAAUAUUGUGAAGAGAGAAACAAUGAAAUUUUAGGUCUUCUCUGAAAGUUAGAAGACUGAAGAAAAGAGGAGAGAGACUGACGACUGAAGACUGACGAGUGACGACCACUAUUUUUCUAUAUAUAUUUUUAAUUAUUUUAUUCAAAUAAACUACUUGGUUUUUAUAAUAGUAUUAAAUUGGCUUGUUUAAGAAUAAUUUUAUUCAAAAGCUUUUGAACUUUCCUUUUUAUAACAAAAUUUAAUGUCUCUCAUAUACCUCUGACUGAAAAUGAAGUUUAGUCAAAUAUAAUAAUUUAAUGCCUUUCAUGUAUAAAUAAAUUAUAUGCUUUUUAAGUUUUUUUUUCUCAUGAAAAUAAAAUGCUCAUUUCCGAUAACAAUAUUUUUGUUGUAUGUUUAAUAUUUUAUAUGGUAAGAUUUAUGAAAAUAAAUGUCUAUAUGUAUUUAUAUAUUAUUAUGUUAUUUUGCGAGAAAUUAUUAUGAAAAUAUAUAAGUAUAUAUAUAUAUAUAUAUAUCAUAUUAUGUUUUUCAUUUAGAUGAAAUUAAUGAACAUAGGGAGUACAUGCAUAUUUAUAGUGAAAAUAAAAUUAUGAAAUAUGCUUGAGUCUGUUAAUAAGAUAUUGAUGGAUCUGGAUAAUUAUUAUUUAUAUUUUAUUAUUGUGAAUAUUGUUUUUUGAAUAUUCAGCUUAUAUUACAUGAUGCUUUUAAAAAAUUUUAUCAAAGAAAAAUUUAUCGGAUAAAAUUUAUAAAGGGCGACGUUCUAUAGUUCUUCGAAUUGAAUAUUGCAAAUGUAUUUUUUCCAAACUAAAAAUUAUAAUCUUGUUUUUUUCAAACUUAUAGUUUGAAAGUUAAUUAUAUAUUAGAGCUUGAGCCGUGAACCUACGUGAAUAGUCUAUUUUAUAAUAUAUAUGUAUAUAUAUAAAACAGAACAAUUUAAUGGUUUUAUUUAUGCUACUUUAAUUUAUUGUUCAGAUUAAAUAUUUCGUUAGUAUAUUGUGUUAUAUUUUUUAUUGGAUUUUUGUUGGAUCAAUUAUGUAGUUCUACGAAAAAAGUUGGAUCUAUAUAUUAAUAUACUAUAUCAGGUCAAAUUUUUAUUGACAUUUCUUUCAUAUUUAAUUGCAUGAUUCAAAUGUAUAAUUAAUAUAUUAAGAGUUUAGGUCAAAUUGAAAAUAUUUUUAAAACCAGUAGGAUGGAUAUAAAUUGAUCCGCCUGUUUUGACAAAAAUCAUGAGCAUAAAGUUAAUAUAUAUGCAAAAUAUAAAGCCGAUAUUUCUGAUAAUAUUUCAUUUUUUAUAAAAUAAAUCAAUGGUAAUAUUCUUAAAUAUUUGUAAUAAGAAAGGUUACAACACGAGUGAAUCACGCUUAUAUAUAUUGGUACCCUCUUAUCUAAUAUUCACUAUUUUGACGACAUCCACUUCAGUUUUCUCUUAAAAUUUCAGGUUUAAAUUUCAAUGUUCCAUCUUCUUGUUUUUUAUAUCGUUUUGGUUUCGUAAGUUCCAGAAAAAUUGUGGUUCUUUUUUGCUUAUAAGAACAUGAUUAUCGGGGAGUUUUUAGGGAAAUGUUCUUAUAUUCCGCUAAAAAUCUCAUCCUAAAAAUUACUAAUAAUUAUGUUCUUAUGACUCGAGAAAAAAUGGGUUCCUUAUUAGAUUUUGUAGAAAUUUUUAUGUUUUUAAUUUAAUGACAAAAUAAAAGAUGUAUCGUUGACAAAAGAGAAAAAAAAAAAAAGAGAGAGAGAGAGAACGGGACCUACUUGAAAAGAGCCAAGAAGAGAGAGGAUAUCUCUUCUCUUUCUCUCUCACAUGUCUGAAUCACUUUGCUAUUUCUUUCUUUGCUUCGGACAGUGAGCCUCCUUUCCUAACUUUAUUUAUUUUCAAUUUUUAUUUUCUCCUUUUUAAUUUGACUUUCUUUUUUAUCUUUCAAUUUUUAUUCGAGAAAGUAUUUAUAUAUGUGUAAUAAUAUAUUGAGGAAAGUUCCACCUAAUUUGAAAGUUUGUAUGAUGCAUUUAAUAUCCGGUGGCUAAAGAAUCCGACCAAUACAAUCCAAUUUGUCAACAUUUUGUACAAUAUAGUCUUUAGAUAUUGUUUUGCUAUAUAUAUCCCACUAUAUAAAAGAAGCUAUUUUUAAGCUUCCUAAGGCUAUCCACAUUGUCAAAAUAAUCAGGACCAAUCAAAGUGCCACGUCACUGGCGGAUUGGGCUUCAAAUUAAAAAAAAAAACGAAAUCAUCCCGGCCCAGUCAUACACUCAUCUCGCAGCCUCUUUUGUGUCUCAGCCCAUUAAGCUCUUAAGGUUCGGGUUAUAGCCUCCUCUUGCUCUGAAAUCAUCACCCCUAACCUAAACGCCGUCUCGCUUUGUUCUGCGAUUCUCUUCCUCUCCCCCAACUCAUCCUCCAUAACGCCUCCGAUGAGAGUGAUGGUACUUCAAUGUGCUCUCAUAAAUCCUCCAUCCAUGAUCCCCAAAGACCUUCCACAUACCCUCUCCGUCUCGAUGAUAUCUACAUCCCUAUUUAUAGCCUUACCUCAGAUCGUAAAAUCCAUACCCGUACCUCAGAUCUUAAAAUCCAAACCCUCAUCAUGGCAAAAACGGUGAAAACGACUGCGAUGUUUAAACGGGAACAAAGAUAAGGAUAAAGAUCGAGAGUUAGAGAAAGCACACAUUGAGAUCUAAGUGUUAAAGUUAUCUGAGAGAUAGAGAGAGAAAGCUCUUGAAGAAGUUUGUUGUUGUUGUUGUCUGUUUUUUUCAUGUUUUUGUUGUGUUUUGUGUUCGUUGAAUAUUUAGUGAAUUCUGUAAAGGAAGUUCAAGUCAAUAUGUGAGUUUAUUUGUUCCUUUCAAAACAAAUUUUAAGUUUUCAACUUUCUGAAGUUGAGCAGUUCAUUUAUCAUGAAAUGCUUCUGGUGCAUUUACCCCUAAGUGCGUACCAUGCGAUAUCAUUCAGAAUUAUACUAACUCUUGAAUUUUGGAUUAAUUAUUAAAUCAUGUUGGCACCUUGACUUCUAUGUUUUACACUGUCUUUUAUAUCUUGGUUGCAAGUUGUGAGCUUUCAGCAACUAACAACUAAGCAACUAACAAAGCUAAUUCCCGAGAACGCCGGUGGUUUCAAGUCGUUGAUUAAGAUUCUGCCUGCACAAGCUGUGAAGCUUCUCUAUUUUAGUGAUUCACCGUCGUCGUCUUCUCAGGCGGUGGCCGACGGUUCAGAUAUUGGUGAGUGUCUAUGCGAGGAUUUUGGAUGGUUUUUUAUUGGAUGGGUUUUGUUAGACACGCAUAGCGUGCAUAAUCUUGGUAUAGUUCUUCUUCUAUUUCUUCUAACACAGUGACUGGUUGGGGUGUCUAUAGAAGGAUUUCACCAUUUUUAAAGGCUUCAGUGCUUUGUCAAUUGCUUCACAUUAAACUUAUUUUCUCAAAAACAAUUAAUUUCGAAUAAGCUUUGUUUACGAGUUCACCUCUGUUUCCAAACAGGUGUGUUUUUACUUUCUAUCUAUAUGUCCCUACUUCAACGUGCCACAAGUGGAUGAUCAGUCUCAAAGAUAAUAGAAUUGUUAUAUACUCUCACGAGAGAUAUGCUGAAACCAGAGACUCCGCUUAGAUCCCUUUCCACAAAUCACAAAUACAUUGUACGUACCAUCCUAUGUAUAACUGAAAACUUGAAGAGGAGUUUGCAAAACUAACUCUGCAUAACUGUCUCCAUUAUCCCGCCUAACGUCAACUCCUCUUCGCAGUGAUGUAGAUGCUAGCCUUUGUGUGUUUGAUGGGCUUGCCAUCGAACUUCAUAAAAGACUAGAAAGCUUCCGUCUGGAACCCAAUGUUGUUUUGUCCAUCUCGCAAACAGAACUCUGAAGAGCAUAAUCAAUAUGCUGGGAAAUAUAUGAAGGACUCUUUUACAUGCAUUUUGAGAAGAUGCAGCACCAAAAGUGAAGGAUAUAGAUAAUGAAUCUGUAAGAAGUGCAGGCCAAGGUUUUAGGAAACAAGUAGUGAGAAAGAAAGAGAAGUGUAUGUAGCUUAGUGGAUGUCAGACUGAUUAAACUUUAGAGUACGCACCAAGGAACAAGCCUAUGGAGCAUUCAGCCAGGCACAUAUCAUACUUUCUGAGACAAAAAGGUAAGAACAUCACAAACAACUAAUAGGUUUUAGGUGUGAGAGAGCUUCUUAAGUAUGAAUGUUAUGCUCACCAACUUUUUAAACGAUAGUAAUGCGGAUGCUCAUACGCUAAAAGGAAUUCAGAUUUUAUUUUCUUUAAAGUAUUCGGGAGUAUGUGGUUGAAUCAGUUUGUUCGAUUUGUUUUCAUUUGAAAUAAAUAAAUACAUUUUGGUUUUAAUUCAUUUAACAGAAAUUCUUUCA